CUACGGGAUGCAGCAGUGAGGAAUAUUGCACAAUGGGGGGAACCCUGAUGCAGCAACGCCGCGUGGAGGAUGACGCAUUUCGGUGUGUAAACUCCUUUUAUAUGUCAAGAAAAUGACGGUAGCAUAUGAAUAAGCACCGGCUAACUCCGUGCCAGCAGCCGCGGUAAUACGGAGGGUGCAAGCGUUACUCGGAAUCACUGGGCGUAAAGGACGCGUAGGCGGGUUGGAAAGUCAGGUGUGAAAUCCUACAGCUUAACUGGAGAACUGCACUUGAAACUUCUAACCUAGAGUAUGGGAGGGGGAGAUGGAAUUAGUGGUGUAGGGGUAAAAUCCGUAGAUAUCACUAGGAAUACCUAAAGCGAAGGCGAUCUCCUGGAACAUCACUGACGCUAAGGCGUGAAAGCGUGGGGAGCAAACAGGAUUAGAUACCCUCGUAGUC
RNAcentral lists this ribosomal RNA (439 nucleotides) under uncultured bacterium. RNAcentral describes it as "partial 16S ribosomal RNA". It matches the Rfam family "Bacterial small subunit ribosomal RNA", at positions 339 to 795 of the family's 1533-position model. The record is from RNAcentral.